GUAGCUCGUCUACUAACUGUUUGAUUAUGCGGAUGAAGGCUGCGUGGGAAACGGUUUAUUCACCUGUCGUUGUGUUCCAAAAUCAUAAGGCUUUAAUGCGGAGGGUUAUAGUUAGCCAAUUUCUCUCUUUCACGAGCAGGGAUUUGUUGCUUUGUUGACACUACAGGGAAGUUUACUGGUUUAAAGAAAGUUGUGGCUAGAGCAUAGGCAACAAGGCAACAGCUACUACAAGCUAUGCAUGAUAGCUGAUAUCAGCCGCAAAUCGUGCGUGUGUAGUAGUUCCAGAGACCGUUUAGUUCUAGUGUGACUGUGUGAUAUUGUACUCUGUAGUAUGUGCAGCAUUUCCGAAGACUGGUUGGUUUAUAUUUUUAUUCAUGUAAAUUAAAUAUGUAAAGUUGUUGUGUGCACUACAGUAGUGAGACAAAAGCCUUUCAUACAUUUAGUUAAGGUUGCCUGUAUGUUUUGAAGGUGUGUCUGGAAAGCCCUGUAACGUUUUGUCUUUAAAAAAAAAAAAAUCUCUUCUGCUCUGGAUAAGAUGGAUGUCUUUCCUCUGACCUGUUACCAAGACAGCUGGAUGUGUAGGAAGCUGGAACUAAGUCACUGAAGAAGUAAACCGAUGAAAACCGAUUUGGAUUGUCUGAGAGAUGUAAUUGACUGAGUUCAGGACAAAUGUGUCAACUAUAUUGUAGGCCUAUUACUUUAACAAUAAAAUCACAAUAACUGUUUAUUUUUUGGCUGUAGGACACAAGUAAAAGGAGAAGAAUGCUGCUCAGCUGGGUCGGCGAAGCUCUUGGAUAUCAUCUGCAUCUAUGAAGGCACCGGUAGGCACAGAGUCAUUCCGGUAGGCACGGAGUCGUUCCUCGAUGGACGUGAUGACCUGGCACCAAAACCGCUUAAUGUGUAUGAAGCUGUCUGCAUCGAGGGAAGAACCCAGUACUGAAAUGACACAAGUAAAAGGAGAAGAAUGCUGCUCAGCUGGGUCGGCGGUCAC
This is a long non-coding RNA of Engraulis encrasicolus (European anchovy), 991 nucleotides long. RefSeq lists it as uncharacterized. The transcript is spliced from 3 exons. Lineage: Eukaryota; Metazoa; Chordata; Actinopteri; Clupeiformes; Engraulidae. The record is from RefSeq and is a predicted model, not a curated record.